GUUUGAAUUUUAGUAACAUUGUUUUCAAAUCAAUUAUUUUCUAGUGUAAGCUACCCACAGUGGAAGAAUGUAUGCAGUUAGCUGAGACAGCCCAUGCAGAUGACAAUAUAUUUGAAACUGUAAAAUAUUACUUGUUAAGUCAAGAACCUGAAAAAGCCCUUCCUAUUGGUAUUAGCUUUGUUAAAGAAUACAUCAGUAGCUCAGACUGGACUUUGGAUACCAUAUACCCUGUUCUUGACCUACUGAGCUAUAUUCGUACUGAAAAAUUACUCUUGCAUACAUGUACUGAAGCUCGAAAUGAGUUGCUGAUAUUAUGUGGUUACAUUGGUGCAUUACUGGCUAUCAGAAGACAGUACCAAAGCAUUGUUCCAGCACUUUAUGAGUACACAAGUCAGCUAUUAAAACGUCGGGAGGUGUCAGUACCUUUAAAAAUUGAAUAUCUUUCUGAGGAAUUGGAUGCAUGGAGAGCUUGCACACAGUCCACC
This 485-nucleotide small RNA is filed under the name Pan troglodytes (chimpanzee). RNAcentral's name for it is "retained intron". Lineage: Eukaryota; Metazoa; Chordata; Mammalia; Primates; Hominidae. The record is from RNAcentral.